This 235-nucleotide unclassified non-coding RNA is filed under the name Hevea brasiliensis (rubber tree). The record is from RNAcentral. Lineage: Eukaryota; Viridiplantae; Streptophyta; Magnoliopsida; Malpighiales; Euphorbiaceae.
GAGAGAUGGAUUGAUAUAAAAAGCAGAAGAAAGAAAGAAAAGAAAAACCAUGGUCAACCAAGAAAGUUAAAGCAGCAAGUAGUCAGAGGCAUCUUCUGGUCUUGUUUGUUAGCAUUUUUGACAAGUGGUUCUGAAAAUGACUCCAUGCAAAUUCUAACCACAGACAGAGACAUCUUUGUUCAAAAAAGAAAAAGAAAACCAGAGAUUUCUCAAGGGAGAGAGAUAUACCUUCGAU